CUCCAAUUAGGCAAGGAAAUGAAAGGAGCUGUGUGCAAUUUCCAGCAGCUGGUAACUUCCUCACUCUGCUCCCAGGAUGGCUGGGUUUGGAUUGAUCCAGCCAGGAGUCUGUGCUGCUUUGCCCAUAGGGUCAGAGGAGGGAAGGGGCACUUGGUGUUGGCGGUUCCCAGGCAUCAUCCCAGAGGGAAAUACCUUUCCUGCUCCCAUUGGCAGAGGUACUGUAUGACUGGUCUUGUGAAAUUCAGAUGCCAACAAUUGGCUUGGAUGAGCAGCAGUACUCGCUCAGUGAAGCGAAAGCCGAGGAAUACAAUUGCUCUAUCCUUCCUAAUUGAAAUGGAAAAAAUGCUGCCAUAUCAGCCCAUCAAAAAUAUUGCAAGCUUAUCUCUUAUUAAUUUACAUUUGGAGAUGCACCCUGGAACAUGA
This 423-nucleotide long non-coding RNA is filed under the name Chrysolophus pictus (golden pheasant). Its description in RNAcentral is "lncRNA (ENSCPIG00010008646.1)". The record is from RNAcentral. Lineage: Eukaryota; Metazoa; Chordata; Aves; Galliformes; Phasianidae.